UGCUGCCCGGCCGGGUGGGAGGAACUGCAGGCUGAAAUGGAAACGGCUUUCCUGGCCUGAAAAAUUAACCUAGCCCUUCAGCUUCUCAAAGGCAGUAACGUUUCCCUAGGGUCUAGGAAUCAGCUAAAAGGCUAUAUGUUUUUUUUUUCCUUAUGAUAUAGUAUACUGCUUUCUCUUAAGUGAGCACGUGAUAAAGCCGUUAGAGAAAAUGCUCUUUAAUGUCUGUCUCUAGGUGUGAUGUCCAAGGCGCUAGCAAAGGAGAGCCACGCAGCAGGCCAGCAAGAGGAUUGUGAGGGCGGCUCCAGAAGGAGGAGCUGGGGGCUGUGGGUCACUGCUGGUGUCGGUGGGACCUUGGUGGCACUCUAUGCUGUGGUCACCCCCUUCGUGACCCCGGCUCUGAGGAAAGUGUGCCUGCCCUUCGUUCCUGCAACUGCUACUCAGAUCCAGAAUGUGCUGAAAAUGUUAGAGAACAGAAGCGGCUCCCUAGUUGACAUUGGUAGCGGGGAUGGCCGUAUUGUCAUAGCAGCUGCAAAAAGGGGAUUCAAAGCUGUUGGUUAUGAAUUAAAUCCCUGGCUAGUCUGGUACUCCAGAUACCGUGCCUGGAGAGAUGGGGUGCAUCAGAACACCAAGUUUUAUAUUUCAGACUUAUGGAAGGUUUCUUUUUCCCGUUAUAUGAAUGUUGUUGUUUUUGGGGUACCUCAAAUGAUGCCACAGUUGGAGAAGAAGCUGGAAGAAGAACUUCAAUGUAAUGCCAGAAUCAUUGCUUGUCGUUUUCCUUUCCCUUGCUGGAUCCCAGAUCAUACUGCUGGAGAGGGAAUAGACACUGUGUGGGCCUACGAUUUGAAACAUCGCAGAGGAUGUGAAACAAAAAGCUUGGAUAUUACACCAGAGACAGAAUCCUAAACAUCUAAUUUGCUUUUGUACUGAAAUUUUUGGCUUUGACUUCACCUGUUAGAGAUAAGAUUAAUGUGAAUAGAGCCCCAGGAUAUGGAGAUACACAUUCACUAAAAUAACUGAAGUACGCUGGUUAUCUGAAAGUGCACAAAGGAACUGCUUAAACAUAAUAUUUACAUUUUCAAAACACCUGAUCAUCUGCCACUGAAGCCUGUCUAAAAAGCCGACGGACCCUGUGAAACUUCUUAAUGCUGCAAUGUCUGCAGCUGUCUGUGCCAGAACUCUUGUUCAGAUGAGUAGAAAUGUGCCUAGCUCUUGCAUAAGCUCUCUUGAUUCUUGAUUUCUUGAAAGAAAAUGGAUGUGUGAGGAGAGGACACAAAAUGAAUGAUAAAAACUUGAGAAUCAGUGUAAGUUCUGGGAGAGAAAAAUGUGAGUG
This is an RNA transcript of Haliaeetus leucocephalus (bald eagle), 1330 nucleotides long. It is a transcript of the gene named family with sequence similarity 173, member B, with no coding region annotated. Lineage: Eukaryota; Metazoa; Chordata; Aves; Accipitriformes; Accipitridae. The record is from RefSeq and is a predicted model, not a curated record. The transcript has 5 exons.